GUGAUUACAAGCUUAUUCAAUGGCUAGAUCCAUCAUUAUAACAACCGAAACACUCCAGCAAUCCAAUACAUUUAACAAAAGACACACACUCACAAGCAUGAUUAUUGAUUCACACACGUGUAUUUAAUUAAUGGGAAAUUAUCAUUGCACCACCUUUAUUUUUCCUUAUGUUCAUCUAACCACUACAAAAUUUUAACAUGUACUUUGCACCACUUUU
Molecule: long non-coding RNA, 217 nt
Filed under: Citrus sinensis (sweet orange)
Lineage: Eukaryota; Viridiplantae; Streptophyta; Magnoliopsida; Sapindales; Rutaceae
Description: long non-coding RNA (CSIN_LNC005549)
Source: RNAcentral